AAGCUGGUCUCUAUGAGGUCCGGCAUUGUAAUGGGAACAACUUAAAUCAUUUAUCGAGGAUCUAUUGGAGGGCAAGUCUGGUGCCAGCAGCCGCGGUAAUUCCAGCUCCAAUAGCGUAUAUUAAAGUUGUUGCGGUUAAAAAGCUCGUAGUUGGAUCUACGAUCAAGUCUUGUGGUCGCUCUGCCUGAGUGUACUGCAUUGACUGAUCCAUAUAUCCAGUAUUCGAUUGAUGCUCUUCAUUGAGUGUCUCUAGUUGCUGGAACUUUUACCUUGAAAAAAUUGGAGUGCUCAAGGCAGGCUAGCCUGAACAUUGCUGCAUGGGAUAAUAGAAUAGGACUUCGGUUCUAUUUUGUUGGUUUCGGAACACGAAGUAAUGAUUAAUAGGGACAGACGGGGGCAUUCGUAUUGCUGCGUUAGAGGUGAAAUUCUUGGAUCGUAGCAAGACGAACUACUGCGAAAGCAUUUGCCAAGAAUGUUUUCAUUAAUCAAGAACGAAAGUUAGAGGUCGAAGGCGAUCAGAUACCGCCCUAGUUCUAACCGUAAACGAUGUUAACUAGCGAUCCGCAGGAGUUACUUUAACGGCUCUGCGGGGAGCUCCCGGGAAACCUAAGUGUUCGAAUUCCGGGGGAAGUAUGGUUGCAAAGCUGAAACUUAAAGGAAUUGACGGAAGGGCACCACCAGGAGUGGAGCUUGCGGCUUAAUUUGACCCAACGCGGGGAAACUCACUUGGUCAGGACACUGUAAGGAUUGACAGAUUGAAAGCUCUUUCUUGAUUCGGUGGAUGGUGGUGCAUGGCCGUUCUUAGUUGGUGGAGUGAUUUGUCUGGUUAAUUCCGAUAACGAACGAGACUCUAACUUGCUAACUAGUCGCAGUUUUAUUCUGACUGUCGAGCUUCUUAGAAGGACAGGGGACGCCAGUCCCACGAGAUUGAGCAAUAACAGGUCUGAUAUGCCCUUAGAUGUCCAAGGCCGCACGCGUGCUACACUGAAGACGUCAACAUGUUAACCUAACUCGAAAGGGUUUGGGGAACCCUAUGAAACGUCUUCGUGCUAGGGAUUGGGACUUGUAAUUAUUUCCCAUGAACGAGGAAUUCCUAGUAAGUGCGAGUCAUCAUCUCGCGCUGAUUACGUCCCUGCCCUUUGUACACACCGCCCGUCGCUACUACCGAUUGGAUGUGUUAGUGAGAUUUUCCGACUGGGACAAUGGCAGCUUCGGUUGCAGUUGGUCCUGGAAAGAUCAUCGAACUAAUAUAUCUAGAGGAAGUAAAAGUCGUA
Molecule: ribosomal RNA, 1274 nt
Filed under: metagenome
Description: SSU rRNA
Rfam family: Eukaryotic small subunit ribosomal RNA
Source: RNAcentral